AACGAACGCUGGCGGCAGGCCUAACACAUGCAAGUCGAGCGCCCUUUCGGGGGAGCGGCGGACGGGUGGGUAACGCGUGGGAAUCUGCCCUUCUCUACGUCAUAGCCUCGGGAAACUUGGAGUAAUACCUUAUACGCCCUGCGGGGGUAAGGUUUAUCGGGGAAGGAUUAGCCCGCGUUGGAUUAGGUAGUUGGUGGGGUAAUGGCCUAGCAAGCCGACGAUCCAUAGCUGGUUUGAGAGGAUGAUCAGCCACACUGGGACUGAGACACAGCCCAGACUCCUACGGGAGGCAGCAGUGGGGAAUCUUAGACAAUGGGGGCAACCCUGAUCGAGCCAUGCCGCGUGAGUGAUGAAGGCCUUAGGGUUGUAAAGCUCUUUCAGCUGGGAAGAUAAUGACGGUACCAGCAGAAGAAGCCCCGGCUAACUCCGUG
This 431-nucleotide ribosomal RNA is filed under the name uncultured bacterium. Its description in RNAcentral is "partial 16S ribosomal RNA". It matches the Rfam family "Bacterial small subunit ribosomal RNA", at positions 29 to 507 of the family's 1533-position model. The record is from RNAcentral.